GGAUGAACGCUGACAGAAUGCUUAACACAUGCAAGUCAACUUGAAUUUGGGUUUUUAACUUAGGUUUGGGUGGCGGACGGGUGAGUAACGCGUAAAGAACUUGCCUCACAGCUAGGGACAACAUUUGGAAACGAAUGCUAAUACCUAAUAUUAUGAUAAUAGGGCAUCCUAUAAUUAUGAAAGCUAUAAGCGCUGUGAGAGAGCUUUGCGUCCCAUUAGCUAGUUGGAGAGGUAACGGCUCACCAAGGCGAUGAUGGGUAGCCGGCCUGAGAGGGUGAUCGGCCACAAGGGGACUGAGACACGGCCCUUACUCCUACGGGAGGCAGCAGUGGGGAAUAUUGGACAAUGGACCGAGAGUCUGAUCCAGCAAUUCUGUGUGCACGAUGAAGUUUUUCGGAAUGUAAAGUGCUUUCAGUUGGGAAGAAACAAAUGACGGUACCAACAGAAGAAGUGACGGCUAAAUACGUG
RNAcentral lists this ribosomal RNA (468 nucleotides) under uncultured bacterium. Its description in RNAcentral is "partial 16S ribosomal RNA". It matches the Rfam family "Bacterial small subunit ribosomal RNA", at positions 27 to 507 of the family's 1533-position model. The record is from RNAcentral.